RNAcentral lists this ribosomal RNA (517 nucleotides) under uncultured Bacteroidota bacterium. Its description in RNAcentral is "bacterial SSU rRNA". It matches the Rfam family "Bacterial small subunit ribosomal RNA", at positions 81 to 596 of the family's 1533-position model. The record is from RNAcentral. Lineage: Bacteria; Pseudomonadati; Bacteroidota.
UAGUUUGAUGGCGACCGGCAAACGGGUGCGGAACACGUACACAACCUUCCUUUAAGUGGGGAAUAGCCCAGAGAAAUUUGGAUUAAUACCCCGUAACACAACGAAGUGGCAUCACUUUGUUGUUAUAGUUUCGGCGCUUAAUGAUGGGUGUGCGUAUGAUUAGAUAGUUGGCGAGGUAACGGCUCACCAAGUCUACGAUCAUUAGCUGAUGUGAGAGCAUGAUCAGCCACACGGGCACUGAGACACGGGCCCGACUCCUACGGGAGGCAGCAGUAAGGAAUAUUGGUCAAUGGACGCAAGUCUGAACCAGCCAUGCCGCGUGAAGGAUUAAGGUCCUCUGGAUUGUAAACUUCUUUUAUAUGGGACGAAAAAAGGUCUUUCUAGACCCCUUGACGGUACCAUAUGAAUAAGCACCGGCUAACUCCGUGCCAGCAGCCGCGGUAAUACGGAGGGUGCAAGCGUUAUCCGGAUUCACUGGGUUUAAAGGGUGCGUAGGCGGGUAGGUAAGUCAGUGGUG